AACUGAGGCCACUCUGGGUAGA
Molecule: microRNA, 22 nt
Filed under: Cavia porcellus (domestic guinea pig)
Lineage: Eukaryota; Metazoa; Chordata; Mammalia; Rodentia; Caviidae
Description: cpo-miR-12077-3p
Source: miRBase by way of RNAcentral